RNAcentral lists this small RNA (91 nucleotides) under uncultured Treponema sp. RNAcentral describes it as "TD-2 RNA". It matches the Rfam family "TD-2 RNA". From Rfam's summary of the family: non coding RNA found in Treponema denticola Lineage: Bacteria; Pseudomonadati; Spirochaetota; Spirochaetia; Treponematales; Treponemataceae. The record is from RNAcentral.
CGCCAAGGAGGGCGGUGGUUCCAUACAGUUACGAGUUUUCGAAAGAAAACUCGCAGCUAAACAAUGUACAAGGAGGUACAUUGUUUAGCGA